GAGUUUGAUCAUGGCUCAGAUUGAACGCUGGCGGCAUGCCUUACACAUGCAAGUCGAACGGCAGCAUGAUCUAGCUUGCUAGAUUGAUGGCGAGUGGCGAACGGGUGAGUAAUACAUCGGAACGUGCCCUGUAGUGGGGGAUAACUAGUCGAAAGAUUAGCUAAUACCGCAUACGACCUGAGGGUGAAAGUGGGGGACCGCAAGGCCUCAUGCUAUAGGAGCGGCCGAUGUCUGAUUAGCUAGUUGGUGGGGUAAAGGCCCACCAAGGGGACGAUCAGUAGCUGGUCUGAGAGGACGAUCAGCCACACUGGGACUGAGACACGGCCCAGACUCCUACGGGAGGCAGCAGUGGGGAAUUUUGGACAAUGGGCGAAAGCCUGAUCCAGCAAUGCCGCGUGUGUGAAGAAGGCCUUCGGUGUAA
This 421-nucleotide ribosomal RNA is filed under the name uncultured microorganism. Its description in RNAcentral is "bacterial SSU rRNA". It matches the Rfam family "Bacterial small subunit ribosomal RNA", at positions 9 to 428 of the family's 1533-position model. The record is from RNAcentral.